UUUCUGUUCUGUUAUAGUUAUGGAUAACUCUUGUUACUCUGUUAAUUGUUAAAUAUGCAUUUUGGUCGAGUUCUUGUUGACGUAUUCUGCAAUGAGGAAUCACUCUGAUUUUGAACUUGCCUUAAGGUGUAUAAGGCCACCUUAGUGAAUUUUUAGUAUUUAUUUAAUUUUAUUUUAAAAAAUAGAGUAAAUUUGCAUGAUAUUGCUCGUGGCGUCGAAGUUCUUUAUAAAAAUAGUACUCCCUCCGAUCCAUAUUAAUUGACGCUGCUUUAGUACAACCAGGGAGUAUUAUGUAUUUCUGACUUGUCAAUAACCUGUUUGAUGCAACAAGUAACAUAGACAAGAUUUAUGUGUCACGCGAUCAUUCUAACAUACGCCAGAAUACUAGUUUAUGUGUCACACGAUCAUUCUAACAAACUAGGUAGGCAGUUUACGUCGUUUACCUUUCUCAUAUUUCCCGAGUCCCGUAUCUUGUUAUUAAACCUAAGAGUUAGCAGUACCUAACUGUGUAUGAAAGAAAAAGAAUCAGUAUGAUUUAGGGCCUCUUUAAUUCAAAGGAAUUUCAUAGGAAGUUUGGAGGAUUAUGCUUCUUCGGAAAUGUUCUUGAGAAUAUAUGAAUUUUUCCUAUAGACUGCUUUGCAUGCAAUUUCAAAGGAAAAUUUCCACCUAGUCCAACCUCAUGGAAAUUAUUCUUAUUUUCAGUGAAAACUAUGGCAAACACUAUGCCUACAUUCUGUGUUUUUCAUGUGGUGCAAUCAGACAACCUGUGCUACACUACAUAUUUCUGUGUUUUUACUUCAUGUGAAUUCAACAUGGCAUGGCAUCCAGUUUCUUCAUUUUUCUUAGUUUGAAAUCCUACAAAUCAGAGAGGCCCUAGCAAACGUCACGCAUUUGGUACAAAAGUAUUUUAAGUUUUUAAUUGAACUUUUAUUGUGUUAUUAUAGGAUUCAGAACAUGGUGAAAAUGAUGUGGGUACAAAGUCUAAAAAUUUAGGAUGGCUCCUUGACAAUAGCCCGGAAAUGCAAAAGUGAUUUAAUCGGGGUGGGGUACAUUACUUCCUUGCCGGCAAAGCUUUCUUCCAAAACAUUUCCAGCACCUACCGUCAAUAAGGCCCCAGUUUGGUGAGGGACUGCCAUUCAGGGAGCCUGUUUACACUGUGCUGUUGCUUCUGCUGCUACGAGACCUGCGAGUGCUGCAUGGAGUCCUUGUGCUGCUGCGGCUAAUUUUAGCUGCACAUUUCUGCUGUUGCAUGGAGAUCUGGCAGACUGGGCUGUACUGUGGAAACCCAUAUCGUUUCGCCUCGGUGAGAUGGUGAACAGGCAUAUGUGCUUGUUCGAAUAAAAACUGUAGUUACGUCUCUGUUGUCAUGUAUGUUGUUGGUCGCCAAAAAUAAGAGUAUGCUGUUGGUGUGUGUUUGCCUUUGACGAUUGUCAUGUUUAGUGCUGUCAUGUUUAUAGGGAGAUCCUCCGAUUUGUAUUGAACUUUCAUCUAUAUCUAUACUUUUAAACA
Molecule: non-coding RNA, 1509 nt
Organism: Triticum urartu
Lineage: Eukaryota; Viridiplantae; Streptophyta; Magnoliopsida; Poales; Poaceae
Source: RefSeq, a predicted model, not a curated record